UACGUAGGGGGCAAGCGUUGUCCGGAUUUAUUGGGCGUAAAGAGCGUGUAGGCGGCCCGGUAAGUCCGCUGUGAAAGUCGGGGGCUCAACCCUCGAAUGCCGGUGGAUACUGUCGGGCUAGAGUGCGGAAGAGGCGAGUGGAAUUCCCGGUGUAGCGGUGAAAUGCGCAGAUAUCGGGAGGAACACCAAUGGCGAAGGCAGCUCGCUGGGACGUUACUGACGCUGAGACGCGAAAGCGUGGGGAGCAAACAGG
This 253-nucleotide ribosomal RNA is filed under the name uncultured bacterium. Its description in RNAcentral is "partial 16S ribosomal RNA". It matches the Rfam family "Bacterial small subunit ribosomal RNA", at positions 524 to 776 of the family's 1533-position model. The record is from RNAcentral.